AGUGAACGCUGGCGGUAGGCCUAACACAUGCAAGUCGAACGGCAGCACAGUAAGAGCUUGCCCUUACGGGUGGCGAGUGGCGGGCGGGUGAGGAAUACAUCGGAAUCCUCUUUUUCGUGGGGAAUAACGUGGGAAACCUUCCCCUAUUCCCCCAUACGACGAACGGGGGAAAUCAGUGGUUCUUGGCACUUUUGCUGAUACUUGGAGCCAUUGUCGGAUUAGCUAGUUGGCGGGGUAAGGGCCCACCAAGGCGACGAUCCGUAGCGGGUCUGAGAGGAUGAUCAGCCACACUGGAACUGAGACACGGUCCAGACUCCUACGGGAGGCAGCAGUGGGGAAUAUUGGACAAUGGGCGCAAGCCUGAUCCAGCCAUACCGCGUGGGUGAAGAAGGCCUUCGGAUUGUAAAGCCCUUUUGUUGGGAAAGAAAAGCAGUAGGUUAAUACCUCGCUGUUCUGACGGUACCCAAAGAAUAAGCACCGGCUAACUUCGUG
Molecule: ribosomal RNA, 492 nt
Filed under: uncultured bacterium
Lineage: Bacteria
Description: partial 16S ribosomal RNA
Rfam family: Bacterial small subunit ribosomal RNA
Source: RNAcentral